Molecule: small nuclear RNA, 299 nt
Filed under: Castor canadensis (American beaver)
Lineage: Eukaryota; Metazoa; Chordata; Mammalia; Rodentia; Castoridae
Description: 7SK RNA (ENSCCNG00000030376.1)
Rfam family: 7SK RNA
About the family: 7SK was discovered as an abundant small nuclear RNA in the mid-70s but a possible function has only recently been suggested.
Source: Rfam by way of RNAcentral
GGAUGUGAGGGCAAUCUGCCUGCAACAUCUGUGACCCCAUUGAUCGCCACAGUUGAUUUGGCUGAUCUAGCUGGCUAGGCGGGUGUCCCCUUCCUCCCUCACCACUCCAUGUGUGUCCUUCCUGAAGCUGCACGCUUGGUUGAAAAGGAUGACCAUCCCCUUUGGUCAAGGGUACACGACUAGCUUCAUUCCCCUGCUAGAACCUCCAAACAAGCUCUCAUCAGAAAUCAUGUUAUUUAGUUACCUACCCAUGAAAUGGAAAAUAUCAUUGCACUAUUUAAAGUAGUUAGCAUUACCUC